Molecule: non-coding RNA, 83 nt
Organism: Allomyces macrogynus ATCC 38327
Lineage: Eukaryota; Fungi; Blastocladiomycota; Blastocladiomycetes; Blastocladiales; Blastocladiaceae
Source: the annotation of a GenBank genome assembly
GUCUACUUGGUGAAAUUUGGCAUAUGCGAGUCACUUAAAAUGACUUACCAAGAGGUGUACUGGUUCAAGUCCAGUAGUAGACA